Molecule: ribosomal RNA, 453 nt
Filed under: uncultured Parabacteroides sp.
Lineage: Bacteria; Pseudomonadati; Bacteroidota; Bacteroidia; Bacteroidales; Tannerellaceae
Description: partial 16S ribosomal RNA
Rfam family: Bacterial small subunit ribosomal RNA
Source: RNAcentral
ACGGGAGGCAGCAGUGAGGAAUAUUGGUCAAUGGACGUAAGUCUGAACCAGCCAAGUAGCGUGAGGGAUGACGGCCAUAUGGUUGUAAACCUCUUUUGCGAGGGAAUAAAGUGCGUCACGUGUGGUGCAUUGCAUGUACCUUGCGAAUAAGGAUCGGCUAACUCCGUGCCAGCAGCCGCGGUAAUACGGAGGAUCCGAGCGUUAUCCGGAUUUAUUGGGUUUAAAGGGUGCGUAGGCGGGCUGUUAAGUCAGCGGUGAAACCCCCGGGCUCAACCCGGGGACUGCCAUUGAAACUGGCGGCCUUGAGUACGUUGGGAGUGCGCGGAAUGUGUGGUGUAGCGGUGAAAUGCAUAGAUAUCACACAGAACACCGAUCGCGUAGGCAGCGCACUACGCCGCAACUGACGCUGAGGCACGAAGGCGCGGGGAUCGAACAGGAUUAGAUACCCUGGUA